RNAcentral lists this ribosomal RNA (445 nucleotides) under uncultured bacterium. RNAcentral describes it as "bacterial SSU rRNA". It matches the Rfam family "Bacterial small subunit ribosomal RNA", at positions 330 to 792 of the family's 1533-position model. The record is from RNAcentral.
UCCAGACUCCUACGGGAGGCAGCAGUGGGGGAUAUUGCACAAUGGGGGAAACCCUGAUGCAGCGACGCCGCGUGAGUGAAGAAGUAUUUCGGUAUGUAAAGCUCUAUCAGCAGGGAAGAAAAUGACAUUACCUGACCAAGAAGCCCCGGCUAACUACGUGCCAGCAGCCGCGGUAAUACGUAGGGGGCAAGCGUUAUCCGGAUUUACUGGGUGUAAAGGGAGCGUAGACGGUUAUGUAAGUCUGGAGUGAAAGCCCGGGGCCGAACCCCGGGACUGCUUUGGAAACUGUGUAACUGGAGUACAGGAGGGGCAGGCGGAAUUCCUGGUGUAGCGGUGAAAUGCGUAGAUAUCAGGAGGAACACCGGCGGCGAAGGCGGCUUACUGGACUGUAACUGACGUUGAGGCUCGAAAGCGUGGGGAGCAAACAGGAUUAGAUACCCCGGUA